CCUACGGGUAGCAGCAGUGAGGAAUAUUGGUCAAUGGGCGGGAGCCUGAACCAGCCAAGCCGCGUGAGGGAAGAAGGUACAGCGUAUCGUAAACCUCUUUUGUCAGGGAACAAAGGCGGGGACUAGUCCCCGGAUGAGGGUACCUGAAGAAAAAGCAUCGGCUAACUCCGUGCCAGCAGCCGCGGUAAUACGGAGGAUGCGAGCGUUAUCCGGAUUUUUUGGGUUUAAAGGGUGCGCAGACGGCCUGUUAAGUCAGCGGGAAAAGCCCGGGGCUCAACCCCGGCGAGCCGUUGAAACUGGCGGGCUGGAGUUGGAGAGAAGUACGCGGAAUGCGCGGGGUAGCGGUGAAAUGCUUAGAUAUCGCGCAGAACCCCGAUUGCGAAGGCAGCGUACCGGCUCCACACUGACGCUGAGGCACGAAAGCGUGGGUAUCGAACAGGAUUAGAUACCCCUGUAGUC
This 459-nucleotide ribosomal RNA is filed under the name uncultured bacterium. RNAcentral's name for it is "partial 16S ribosomal RNA". It matches the Rfam family "Bacterial small subunit ribosomal RNA", at positions 338 to 795 of the family's 1533-position model. The record is from RNAcentral.